RNAcentral lists this ribosomal RNA (506 nucleotides) under uncultured bacterium. Its description in RNAcentral is "partial 16S ribosomal RNA". It matches the Rfam family "Bacterial small subunit ribosomal RNA", at positions 30 to 523 of the family's 1533-position model. The record is from RNAcentral.
AUUGAACGCUGGCGGCAGGCUUAACACAUGCAAGUCGAACGGUAACAUAAAGAAGCUUGCUUCUUUGAUGACGAGUGGCGGACGGGUGAGUAAUGCUUGGGAAUCUAGCUUAUGGAGGGGGAUAACUACGGGAAACUGUAGCUAAUACCGCGUAAUGUCGAAAGAUUAAAGUGUGGGACCUACGGGCCACAUGCCAUAGGAUGAGCCCAAGUGGGAUUAGGUAGUUGGUGAGGUAAAGGCUCACCAAGCCGACGAUCUCUAGCUGGUCUGAGAGGAUGACCAGCCACACUGAGACUGAGACACGGCCCAGACUCCUACGGGAGGCAGCAGUGGGGAAUAUUGCGCAAUGGGGGCAACCCUGACGCAGCCAUGCCGCGUGAAUGAAGAAGGCCUUCGGGUUGUAAAGUUCUUUCGGUAGCGAGGAAGGCAUUUAGUUUAAUAGACUAGGUGAUUGACGUUAACUACAGAAGAAGCACCGGCUAACUCCGUGCCAGCCGCCGCCGUAA